Long non-coding RNA from Orcinus orca (killer whale), 7210 nucleotides. RefSeq lists it as uncharacterized. Lineage: Eukaryota; Metazoa; Chordata; Mammalia; Artiodactyla; Delphinidae. The record is from RefSeq and is a predicted model, not a curated record. The transcript has 2 exons.
UAGGUUAUUACAAGAUAUUGAACAUAAUUCCAUGUGCUAUACAGGAAACACUUGUUGUUUAUUUUAUAUAUAGUGGUGUAUAUCUAUUAAUCCCUACUCCUUCCUCUCUUCCCUUUAGUGACCAUAAAUUUGUUUUCUAUAUCUUGUCUGUUUCUGUUUUGUAAAUAAGUUGAUUUGUAUUAUUUUUUUAGAUUCCACAUAUAAGUGAUAUCAUAUAAUAUUUUUCUCUACCCGAUUUACUUCACUUAGUAUGGUAAUCUCUGGGUCCAUCCAUGUUGCUGCAAACGGCAAUAUUUCAUUAUUUUUUAUGGCCGAGUAAUAUUUCAUUGUAUAUAUAUAUAUACCACAUCUUCUUUAUCCAUUCAUGUGUCGAUGGACACUUAGGUUGCUUCCAUGUCUUGUAAACAGUGCUGCUGUGAACAUUGGGGUACACGUAUCUUUUCAAAUUAGCGUUUUCACCUUUCUGGACGUAUGCUCAGAAGUAGGAUUGCUGGAUCUUAUGGUACUUCUAUUUUUAGUUUUUUAAUGAACCUCUACUGUUUUUCAUAGUGGCUGCACCAAUUUACAUUCCCACCAACAUUGUAGGAAGGUUCCCUUUUCUCCACACUCUCUCCAGCAUUUAUUAUUUGUAGACUUUUUGAUGAUGGCCAUUCUGACCAGUGUGAGGUGAUCAAAAGGGAUAUUUUAGUGUUGACGUAAUCGGAGAAAGAGAAAGCAUUCUAAGAUGUAUGUGUCAAGACCACUAUCCUUCAAUAAGUAACAAAUUGGUGUGUGUCUGUUACUGGAAAGGUGUAUUUAACUCAGAUGUCAGCAAAUUCAAAUGGUUAGAGGGGCUAUGCCGCUAAGUUCAGUGAGCAAAAGGGCUGUUUUCAGGGUGGUAAGGAAUAGCCCACUUUCUUCUUAUCUCUGUCAUGGGAAAAACAAUAGUGAAACCACAAUGAUAAAUUACAACCGCCACUUGGCCUCAGUCUGAGGAGGCAAUAGGGCAUGGUGGAGACUGUGGUACAUGGGAAAGCACUUGUACAGGAGGGCACCCACCAUUCAGUGCCAUCAGAUUAUUUGCAUGAGGAAUGGGGGUCUGACCGGUGGCCAGAUUUCCCAAUUUCCCUUUUUUUUUUUUUUCAAGAAAAGCAAAAAAAUGCUAUUUUCUAAGUGAAAGCUCUUAAGCUUAAACAUUGGAAGUUAAUUCUUUAAAUUGUAAAUAUAGCCCAUAGUGUGCUCUGAUGUGAAAUGUGACAGCUGUGGGGCACCAAGCCCUGGUUUAAGUGCUGGGUGCUGUUCUCAUUAAAAGCCCAUCACAUAGUUUAUUUAAGUCUAGUUAUAUGUUGGCAAGCCUUUCUUAUGUGUUAAAAGCCCCUGGGGAAGACAGUUAAAUUAUGAUGAAUGAGUGGUUUAGGAACAUAAAUAAACACUGUCUGCUAGCUUAGGAGGGCAAGCUGGGCUGGUUGCAUUCCAAAUGGCACCCCAAUACAAGGAACUGCACCCAGCAACAUCAUUCCUUAAUAUAAUUGAAGAAGCUCUUAGUAGUUUUUUCAGAGUCUCCACCUUAUUCAUCUGCUUCUUUCAGCUGCACCUACCUUGACUUCAAAUUCCAGUUUUUGUGACACCUCAUUUUGUGUUGGUAUGGAAACAGUUGUGGUCCCACAGACUUAGGGCAACAUCUCUACUGUCACUGAGAAAGGAUGGAGUGUGAUCUGCAUUAUUGCGUACUGUUGGCGGGGUGGGGUUGGCCUUCCCUCUAAAAACAAGAACUUGGGAGAAAGGCCUGCUUCAUUGUACUGAUUUCACUUAAAUUAUGAGACUAAAAUCUGGGUACUGUGAUACGGUGUCUGCAUGGUUUUAAUAUGAAACAAGGAUGUGUUAAUAAAUGUUCAAUCCAAGCUUGAUGUUCAGCAGGCUAGUCCUGACCUCUCUGGCCUAUGUGUCUGAGGAAGGAGGGAUUCUGACAUUCCUCCAGGAUGGUCAAGAGCUCUGCUGUAUCAGGGUCAGGGUGAGUUAGAAAUAGCAGCAGGAUCAAGUGACUUUGUUUGGGGUUGAUUUUUCCAACUCAUGGAACCACUGAGCAUGUUUGAAGGCAGAGAGUUAGAGGCUGUGGAAAGGGAGAAAGCGUAAAGACACUGAAGAGGGAAGGAACAAUGGAGAAGCCUCUCACUGCAAACACCGGCCUGCAAGGCUAGUCCUAGACAUUGUUUUGCAAUUGCUAAGAUUUGUCUUGGAUAACUUUUCCCGUCCUCUUUCUCUGAGGCCUUUCUCACAGGUCAGCAUCACCUCUGACUUGGAGACCCAAGCGUUGUUGCCUCUUGGGGUUAUUCUGUCAUUGAGAAAAAUAAGUUAAUAAUCCUUUUUUCCUCAAAUACACAAAGUGACCUUGAAUGGCAAUAGAGGGUAUACAUGCCACCACUCACCCUUUCCAUGCCCGUGCAGACAUUGCUAAUCAACCACAGCUUUCUCCAUAUCUUUCUUUCCCAAGGAGGCCAUGCCCAAUCUUAGAAUCCUUUCCAAUAUAGUGCUGCUAUUUGUAAUCAAUUAUAAUUGCCACAACGGUUGAAACCUGGAUUUGUUUUUUUCUAUUGAUUCAUAACAAAUUGUCACAAGCUUAUUGUCUUAAAACAACGUACAUUAAUUAUCUCAUAGUUUCCAUGGGUCAGGACACUGGGUAUGAAGUAGUUGGGUUUUCUUCUCAGUCUCCCAGUGUUGCAGUCAAGGUGUUAGCCAAGACCACAGUCUCCUGAGGCUCAUUGUCUCCUUCCAAGUGCAGUGGUUGUUGGCAGAAUUCAAUUCCCUGUGGUUGUAGGACUGAGGCCCUGAGUAACUAAAGGCUACCCAUUGUUCCCUGCCACAUGGCCCUUCCUACAGCAUGGUAGUCUGCUUCCUCAAGGCCAACUAGAGAGUGUCUGUUGCUGCUUGUAAUCUCUCCUUUAAAGGACUUGCCUGAUUAGGUCAGGCCCACCCAAGAUAAUUUCCUUUUUGAUUAGUUCAAAAUCAGCUGAUCAGGGGCCUUAAUUACAUCUGCAAAUCAUUUAUUUAUUUAUUUAUUUAUCUAUUUAUUUAUUUAUUUUUGGCUGCAUUGGGUCUUUGCUGCUGUGCAUGGGCUUUCUCUAGUUGUGGUGAGUGGGGGCUACUCUUCAUUGCGGUGCGUGGGCUUCUCAUUGCGGGGGCUUCUCUUGUGGAGCACAGGCUCUAGGCAUGUGGGCUUCAAUAGUUGUAGCACGUAGGCUCAGUAGAUGUGGCUCGUAGGUUCUAGAGCGCAGGCUCAGUAGCUGUGGCGCAUGGGCUUAGUUGCUCCACGGCAUGUGGGAUCUUCCUGGACCAGGGCUCGAACCCAUGUCCCCUGCAUUGGCAGGGAGAUUCUUAACCACUGUGCCACCAGGGAAGCCCUGCAAAUUUUUAACAUUUGCCAUAUACCAAAACCUAAUAAUGGAAGUAAAAUCUCACCAUAUUCACGAGUUUUGCCCACACCUACAUAAGGGAAUGACACAGAGCAUGUGUACCAAGGGGCAGGAAUCAUGGGGCCAUCUUAGAAUUCUGCUUACUCCAAACCCAGAUGUCAUCCUUGUAAUAGAACCUUGAUUCUGAGCUACUGGCUUUGUUUUUCUUUUUUACUUUUUAUUGUGAAAAAUUUUUAAACAUACAGGAAAGUAGAGAAAAUAAUAUAAUGAAUCUCAUAUACCCAUCUAAUUUAACAGUUGUUAACAUUUUGCCAUAUUUGCUUCUUCUAUUUUCCUACUGAAAUAGUUUAAAAUAAAUUGCAGGCAUUAUGACAUUUCACCUCUAAAUAUUUUAGUAAGAGCAUCCUUAAAAAAUAAGGGCCUUUUUCUACAUAACUGCCUAAUAAAAUUAACAGUGAUCCCCUAAUACUGUUUAAUACAUAGUUUAUAUUCAAAUCUCCCAGGCAGAAUACAAUUCUUAAUGUGCUCUCCUAAUGCCUGUAAACCCUUACAAAAUGCCUGGCACCUAGUGUACUCAAAAAGGUUUGAAUUCCAUCAAAAUUAUAUUCAUAUUUUAUAAUCAUGUUAAAGCAAUGACUCCCGAAGUCCAAUUUCCCCUAGUCCCUCUCACUUCUUUUCACUGCCAGGGUCUGUAAUGAGAUAUUUACAUUAUUUACAGUCUAUAAUAGUGUGGGGUGGAAAAUAAUGGAACCAAGGUACGAGAGCUGUAAUGUGUUACCCUUCUUAGGGAUAUUCAAAUUUUAAAAGAGGCCAUCAAUUAAAUAAAUUGUUUAAAUAAUAAAAUAAAAGAUACCAGCAGAGAAAGACCCAAAUAUGUGAUGGCGGGCAGAUAUCUUGAGGAGAGGCUUAUCUGACACCCUGAAAACUGUAUCAAGCUGCUUACUGAGACCUCCCCAGGUAAGAAGGGGUCUAGAGAGAGCACAGUGGGCACUUGGCUUUCUGAAUGAUGACAGCAGUGUCAGGGCAGGGUCUGGCAGUAAGGGGUAGGCACAGAUAAGAGGGUGCCCUGUGACCCUUUCUUCCCUUGAAUCUGCUAAAGUUUAGGGGUGAUGAAAGGGAAGAAAGCCUGGAAAAUGUAUAAACUUUGAUAACAGGGAUAUAUGACUUCACAUCCUACUUCUACAUCUUAGCUCUUGGCCUGUGGGCAAGUCAUUCUACUUCCCUGAAUGUCUACUUCCUUAAGCCCAAAAUGGUUGUUACAACGACACCAACCUCGCAGUGUUAUUAGGGGGAUUAGAAGACAUAAAAUGUAUCAAGUGCCUGGCAAGUGGCAGCAGUAGCUAUUGGGAUCCGAGAGACUGGUAACGGUAAUGGUGACCUUUGGGACAGGAUAAAGGGGCUACCAUUGCCACCACCACGCUUUUGGGUUGGGGAAAAUGCCAUGCUGGAGAAGGCAGCCCCCUCUUACUCAGAUCCUAACAUCACCCCACUUCACCCCCAUACCUGGCCAGCUUGCAACACACCAGGUAGGAGGCAACCCAGCCCUGCCAGGGGAAAACCACUGGCCCCUGGGGGUGCGGUUAACUCCUGUUCUUCUGAGAAGCUGGGGUGAGUGUUUUCCCCAGUGGUGGAUCCCCAGGCUGUUUGCAGUACAAGUAAAUGCAUCCAGGUGACAUAGCCCAAGUGGAACUUAUUGCUUUGCUGCCUUGAAAGGUGGAACUCCACGCCUGGGGAGAGCUUUGUUGGAGAAGGCUCAGGAUGACACCCUCUGUGGACCCAACUGAAGCAAUGGGAAUGAGUUCUCUCUGUCCCUGAGAAGACAGCAGUGACAAAGCUGAUACGCGUUUGAGAUUUGCGAAUGCUGCUGUCUCAAAGACACCACUUGUCACUUCCUUCCCAGCGUUGAUGUGACGUGGUUGUCUUGUUCGGCCGUUCUCCUCACUCAGUGUGGUGGUAUUCUCCAUUGGGAUGGGGCAAGAAGAGGAGCCGUAAGCAGCAGUCUGAGUUCCGCACACCCAUCCCUGGACAGUGGUUGGGAGAGCGGGUGCGAUUUUGAAAGGGGGCUCUCCCAGACUGACGGUUCUCCUACACAAGGAGGUGCUGUACCAAAAGAGAAAAAAAACCCCAAAACCAACGCAAGCCAAGUGCAUGAUCCCACAGGCCCCUCUCCACACACUUGCUAGGCCUUGUUUUUCCUUGUCCUUGGUGACCAAAAGAAUUCAACUCAGAGCAUUUUGUGCCAAGUUACACACAAUUGUCAAUUAUUUAGGGAUGGAUGGACUACACUUUGGAGUUCUUCAAGUCCUUCAUUUUUUCUCUUUGCCUUCCCUGCUAUCUGCCAAAUCUCCUUCAGAGGACAGAUAAAGGAAGUGAAACACAAAUUAAUCCAGCACUUCUCAGCAGCUUUCAAAAGGGUUUUAUUAGGAAGAUGGGAUCUAGUUAAAUGAGAUGUGGGUAUUAUCUGUGCUUUAUACCAACCCGGUCUUCAGAAUCGUGAGUAAUCUCUAGUCAACUCUACUUACAGAUAACUUCUGUUAGUUACUUCUUUAUUCCAUUAAAGUAGCUCAGAAAGUCAAAUAAAUACCAGAUUUAAAAAAAAGAAACCUUCAUAUAUCUGAAAAGGUGAGUGCUAUUGAGAUAGUCAGGUAUAAAAGUUUACAGGAAAUUUCAAGGUGAUCAUAGUUUCAUUUGGAUCCUAGUUACCAGUUACAACUUGAUCCAUUGAAAGAAAUAUUAACUACACUAGGAUUUAGUCACAAAUGUCUGACAUGUCUUUAAAGGAGCAGUUUAAACCUAAUGAACCUUAGUUCCCUCAACUGUAAAAUAAGGGAGUAGGGAAACAAUAGUUCUGAGGGCCACUCCAGGUCCAUCGUUCUCUUUCCUUCUGGGAAUUCUGGAAAACCUAAGCCCCAAAUGUGCUGAUACAUUUUAAUGAAUUAGAGUUUAAAAAAAUAUAGGCAUACAUCAGAGAUAUUGUGGUUUCGGUUCCACACCACUGCAAUAAAGCAUAUAUCUCAGUAAAGAGUCACACAACUUUUUUUUUUUCCUGGUGCAUAUAAAAGUUAUGUUUCCACUAGACAGUAGCCUAUUAAGUGUGCGGUAACAUUUUGUCUAAAAAAACAAUGUGCAUACCUUACUUUAAAAAUACUUUAUUGCUAAAAAAUGCUAAUCAUCAUCUGAGCCUUUAUCAAGUCGUAAUCCUCUUGUAAUAGUAAUAUCAAAGAUCACUGAUCACACAUCAGCAUACAAAUAUAAUAAUGAAAAAGUUUGAAAUAUUGCAAGAAUUACCAAAAUGUGACAGAGACACGAACUGAGCAAACCCUGUUGGAAAAAUGUCAACAAUAGACUUGCUUGCUGCAGGGUUGCUACAAACCUUCGAUUUGUAAAAAAAUGCAAUAUCUGCAAAGUUCAAUAAAACAAGGUAUGCCUGUAUUAGGAUUAGCAAUAAGAGAGAAUCAUUUAAAAAAUUAACAGUGAAGCUCUUUCCAGCCCUAUAUGUUAGGCUUGCUCCCCUCAACCCACCUCUACCUCCAUCUCCUUACCUAAUCCUACCCUGCAAUGUUUGAAAUAAGAAGCCAGUGAAGAAACUGCAUAUUUCUGGUUUGAAUUAUUAACUUACUUAAAUUCAGGGUGACCAUCUGCUACAGAAGGGAUUUUAACAUGGAGUGGGAGGUUAAAUCAGAUGAACUCCAGGUACCAUUUUAAUACUCACUUUCUGAUUUGAAAUUCAAAUUUGAAAAUUUGAUAUUAAUUGUACAAAAGAACCAGGGCAGAGACCACUUAGAGCCUAGAUCACACACUUGUGGUCUGUGGUUGGAACU